AGUAAUCGCGCGUGUGCUACUGCUCGUGUAUUCUUUUAUCAGAUAUAUAAAGUAAUAUUGAAGAGAUUUGUAGAACAAGAUAGAUUUGUGUCUGAAAGACUUUAUUGAAACAUAAACUAGGAUUAGCUCAAAGGAGCUUUAUUGAAAAGUAAAGAACAAGAAAGGAACAAGCUUGAUGUUUGUCUUCAAGAACUAAAUGAACCUUUUGAUAUCAUAAAUAGAGUUUGAAGUAGGCUGCUUGAAACGCAACCAAAGUUGCAUUGCCAUAAUGAUACUAGACAUAUUUAUACCAAAUCUAACUUGCUAAAACCCUAAACACUUAGUCUAACAGGCUUGGUUGUUCUUCUUGGGCUUGGGCUCUUAUACUCCCCUGCAAACUUAGCGUGGAUGGAGCAGCAACGGAGCAGCAACGCAAAGUUUGAAAGCACAGAUGAAGAUGACUUGAAAUGACCAGUAGGAUGCUUUUGAUGUAGGCAAAGGGCUCUUGUUCUUCUGGAAAACAAACUAAGUGUGAGAUCUAUUCAGGCCUAUACUUGGAGAGUAUUACAUGGCUUCACUCAGAGGUUUCUCUUGAACUUGGAGAGCUUAGUUGAUCUCACUCAGAGGUAUAACUAUGGCAUAUUUGUCUCACUAUGAAUCUAGGUUUCCUUUACCCAUUUCAUUCUUCUAAUGUGUCUCAUGAAGAACUCUCUUUCCACACCUACCAAAUAAAACUAUACUCAAUCUCUGCUUCCCAUCAGUAUACUGCUAAAAAACUCUGCCUCUAAACAAUCUGACAGUGUCGUUGGCAUUUUACCGAGCAGCUUGCGUGCAUUAGCAUUAAAGCCAGAGACUUGCAUCCAAGACCACACGUAACAAACCCAAACAAGCCUUUCUCAAUCAACUUGUGUGUUCUAAAACCCAUCUUAACCAGAAUCUAAACCAGUACACGACAUAUAAUUUUCUCAUCCACUGUUCUGUCUCAAUUAAAGAAACAGAGAUAAUACCGUGUAGAAGUGGUGAGGAAGCUGAAUAAGUCUUCAUUCUUCUCUGACCAGUUUGAGACCUGUCUGAAACUUCAACUAGAAAAAGCCCGAUAAACCCCAUGAACCACCGUGGUCUCUGUCUCGAACUUCUCCCUCUUCAUAUGGGCAAGCGCUUGACUGGUUCUGUUUCUCAAUGACAGAGUCACAGCUGCAGCAGGUCUUUAGCAGGGCUUGGUGAAGACUAUAUAUAUAUAUAUAUACAUAUACAUGCAUUUCCAUGAUUCCAUCUACCUUUUAAUUUUUUUUUUUGAAGUAAUCGCGCGUGUGCUACUGCUCGUGUAUUCUUUUAUCAGAUAUAUAAAGUAAUAUUGAAGAGAUUUGUAGAACAAGAUAGAUUUGUGUCUGAAAGACUUUAUUGAAACAUAAACUAGGAUUAGCUCAAAGGAGCUUUAUUGAAAAGUAAAGAACAAGAAAGGAACAAGCUUGAUGUUUGUCUUCAAGAACUAAAUGAACCUUUUGAUAUCAUAAAUAGAGUUUGAAGUAGGCUGCUUGAAACGCAGCCAAAGUUGCAUUGCCAUAAUGAUACUAGACAUAUUUAUACCAAAUCUAACUUGCUAAAACCCUAAACACUUAGUCUAACAGGCUUGGUUGUUCUUCUUGGGCUUGGGCUCUUAUAAAUAUUUCCGUAGAUAGUUACCAUGUAAUCAUAAUAUAAUCUAUCAAAACUAGCACAU
This 1699-nucleotide long non-coding RNA is filed under the name Brassica napus (rape). RNAcentral's name for it is "long non-coding RNA (BNAP_LNC008935)". Lineage: Eukaryota; Viridiplantae; Streptophyta; Magnoliopsida; Brassicales; Brassicaceae. The record is from RNAcentral.